This 521-nucleotide ribosomal RNA is filed under the name uncultured bacterium. RNAcentral describes it as "bacterial SSU rRNA". It matches the Rfam family "Bacterial small subunit ribosomal RNA", at positions 993 to 1509 of the family's 1533-position model. The record is from RNAcentral.
GAACUUAGCAGAGAUGCUUUGGUGACCCUUUCGGGGAACGUCUGAGACAGGUGCUGCAUGGCUGUCGUCAGCUCGUGUUGUGAAAUGUUGGGUUAAGUCCCGCAACGAGCGCAACCCUUAUCCUUUGUUGCCAGCGGUCCGGCCGGGAACUCAAAGGAGACUGCCAGUGAUAAACUGGAGGAAGGUGGGGAUGACGUCAAGUCAUCAUGGCCCUUACGAGUAGGGCUACACACGUGCUACAAUGGCGCAUACAAAGAGAAGCGACCUCGCGAGAGCAAGCGGACCUCAUAAAGUGCGUCGUAGUCCGGAUUGGAGUCUGCAACUCGACUCCAUGAAGUCGGAAUCGCUAGUAAUCGUGGAUCAGAAUGCCACGGUGAAUACGUUCCCGGGCCUUGUACACACCGCCCGUCACACCAUGGGAGUGGGUUGCAAAAGAAGUAGGUAGCUUAACCUUCGGGAGGGCGCUUACCACUUUGUGAUUCAUGACUGGGGUGAAGUCGUAACAAGGUAGGCGUAGUGCU